Molecule: ribosomal RNA, 434 nt
Filed under: uncultured bacterium
Lineage: Bacteria
Description: bacterial SSU rRNA
Rfam family: Bacterial small subunit ribosomal RNA
Source: RNAcentral
GCAGUAAGGAAUAUUGGUCAAUGGGCGCAAGCCUGAACCAGCCAUGCCGCGUGCAGGAAGACGGCCCUCUGGGUUGUAAACUGCUUUUAUUCGGGAAUAAACCUACUUACGUGUAAGUAGCUGAAUGUACCGAAGGAAUAAGGAUCGGCUAACUCCGUGCCAGCAGCCGCGGUAAUACGGAGGAUCCAAGCGUUAUCCGGAUUUAUUGGGUUUAAAGGGUGCGUAGGCGGCCUGUUAAGUCAGGGGUGAAAGACGGUAGCUCAACUAUCGCAGUGCCCUUGAUACUGAUGGGCUUGAAUGGACUAGAGGUAGGCGGAAUGAGACAAGUAGCGGUGAAAUGCAUAGAUAUGUCUCAGAACACCGAUUGCGAAGGCAGCUUACUAUGGUCUUAUUGACGCUGAGGCACGAAAGCGUGGGGAUCAAACAGGAUUAGA